RNAcentral lists this unclassified non-coding RNA (2450 nucleotides) under Hevea brasiliensis (rubber tree). The stretch from base 200 to 277 matches the Rfam family "Small nucleolar RNA Z221/R21b". Lineage: Eukaryota; Viridiplantae; Streptophyta; Magnoliopsida; Malpighiales; Euphorbiaceae. The record is from RNAcentral.
CCCCAUUUCCUUCGUUUUCUCAGCCUUGCACUGCCCUCGUCCCUCAUUUUCUCUUCCAUACUUCCACACUUCGCUUUCUCUGCCUCAUACCCAUUCUUCUUCUUCGUUUACUCCUUUUGCCUCUAUCCUCUUGGCCGCGUCUGUUCUCUAUCUCGUUAAGAAGCACCUAGAGCCCUUGACUGCCGUCUGCUGCUGCUGGGCGUCGUGAUGAGGAUUUAGAGGAAGUCAUGCACCACUCCGAUUUCUUGUGCUGAUAAAUCUCUCAUACCCGUAGUGCAAUAUUUCAGUCAAAUUCAGAAAUCCACACUAAGAUUUUCUGAAUUGGAGUUUUAGCUUUUUGUUGGUUAACAAAAUUCCAAAAUGCUGCACCUGCAUAUUGAGCCUGGAUACUUUCACCUGUAAUUAAGUCUGCUUCAUACCAGCAGCCUCAUUGAAUUGUAAGGAGAAAUGAAAUUCUGAGGCCGCAACUGCCCUUGCUGCUGCUUUACUUGUGUUUAAGGUUGUUGACUCCAAAUUUUCAAGCUUCUUGCUGCUGCUUUUUUUAUUUUCAGGCUAUCAGGUGAUUUCAGUUUCUAUUAUUACUUGAGCUUGAUAUAUUGCUCAAUUGAAAGUGCAUGGACUCUGUCCAGUUUCGGAUAUUAUCCAUGUUCAGUUUCAAAUUUAUUUUUGCAAUGUCAGUUCUUUGUUUUUCUUAAGAAAAUGGGCCAGGCCUAACUCACCCCCAAAAUGCCACCACCAUCUCUCCUUUUCUUCAGUUUUCCAAUUUCAUUAAGCAAACAUAUUUGCCAAUUUUCAGAUUGUAGAAAUAGUUUUCUAAAUUUAUAUUAUGUUUUCUAUAACUUUUCUGUGGAGUAGUAAUUUUCCUAAUAUAAAAGAAAAAUGAAAUUGGAAAAUGGAAAAAUUUUUUCCACAAGUAAAUAGCCCCUUGCUUUUUCUUGUGUCAGAAUUCUCCAGGAUAAUUAUACAAGUCUUUUUGCAUUUUCUACUCUGUUCUUCAGUUACUUUAUGGAAACUCAGCAGGGCAUUCAAUUUCACACUUGUCAGAAGGUGGGAAUCCUGUUGAUAUUAUUUGUUGGCAUUGGCUUUGGCUUUUGUAUGCAUGGUUCUUCACCUUCAAGUGAGGUGGCUAGGUGUGAGCCAAACUCCGAGUCCAACAACUUAAAUAUUAGUAGUUUUUGUAGUUUCAAGAAAUACAUUGUGAAAUCUUAUUUUGAAAAAUAUGAGAGCUUCGUCGAAUCAAAAUUUCAAGAUUUCUUAGUAGAUGAACUUCCCCACUCAUGUGAAUUGCUGCCAGAUAAUCUGAAUGCUUUUUUAAGACUAUCAGUUCCCAAUCGCCUUUUGACUGGUGAAGGUUCUCAUCGUCAUCUGUAUUCAAUGAUCAGACUUAACUUCCAGCCAGAAUCAAUAAAUCAGCUACCCACUCUCUUUUGUAAGGUUAUCGUUGUAGAGAGACUUCCCUCUGGAGUCUUUGCUGACCCAUUUGAACUCCAACACCUUCUGCAGAGGCGUGGUAAUAAAAUCCUUUUCUCAUUUACCUUUCAUAUUCUCAAAUUUGGUCUCAUUGCAUUAUUUUUCCUUACCAAGUUUAAUUUGUGUUAAAUCCUUAUUGCAGUUUUUACUGAUGUAGCUGUUUUCGGAGAUAAAAAUUUGGAAUUGCCUUCUGUUGCUUCCAAUCGGUCUGUUGUUGAGAUUCACAUGAAUGUCAAUCCCAAUAUCUUUUUUGGACAGACAAAUGAACUGGAAAUCAGCAUAGACCUCCCAUUGCAUGCACGGUAUCAACCCCUAGGUGAAAGUGGUUAUUCAAUGGUGGAAUUUGGCACACCAGAUUUAUUUGUACGGUGCUGCAUGGAAGGAAACUUAAACAAUCAAAGCUGCUUAUUUGCACCGAGCAGUGACAGUGUUGAAACCAAAACUAGUGCUGUUGUGUGGAGAAUUCCUUCUGGUACUAAGAUACAUACUGGUAUUGUGUCUGUCAUUACUUUUGUUGCAGCCUUCAUAUCAACUCUUGUUAUUGUCCUGACAUCCAUGUUUUAUUCUGAUAUUAAUUGUGCAAAAACAUUUAAAUUAUCAUAGUUUUGAUGUUUUUGUAGCUUGAUUUUUUUUUGAGUAAGAGAGGCUGAGCAUCUUCUUUGAGAUGAUUUGUAGACUUAUUAUGUGCACCUAACUUUUGUUCUCGCAAUUAUCCAGACUUGAAUGUAUAUUUCUAUGACAGGCAAAGGGAUAGAGAAACAUUAUUGAUGUUAGCUGCAUAGUUUAUGGGCAGUUGGGAGGGCAAGAGAUAAUUUUUGAGUUGUUUUCUCAUCAGAUGGUGAUGCUGUGUAUAUUAACAUAUGCAUUGAUUCUUGUUGAUUGAAUCGAGAUCUUGCCUUAAAAACUCAUGUACACAAUUAGCGUACGUGCACCUGAUUGUUUCUAUUCAGCUAAAAUUUCAAUAUAAAUUUGCCCAUUUG